UGCGUAGGCGGAUUGAUAAGUCAGUGGUGAAAACCUUCAGCUUAACUGGAGACUUGCCAUUGAUACUGUUAGUCUUGAGUACGGUCAAGGUAGUCGGAAUGUGUAAUGUAGCGGUGAAAUGCUUAGAUAUUACACAGAACACCGAUUGCGAAGGCGGCUUACUGGGCCAUUACUGACGCUGAGGCACGAAAGCGUGGGGAGCGAACAGGAUUAGAUACCCUGGUAGUCC
RNAcentral lists this ribosomal RNA (229 nucleotides) under uncultured bacterium. Its description in RNAcentral is "partial 16S ribosomal RNA". It matches the Rfam family "Bacterial small subunit ribosomal RNA", at positions 568 to 796 of the family's 1533-position model. The record is from RNAcentral.